UCGUGUCCUUAGUAGACAGACGUGACGCGACGUCGACGUUGGAAGUCCAUUUGCUGUACACUUGGAGGUAAGAACUACGUAUAAUGGGGUAACUGCGGAGCGGUUAAGCAAAGUCCAGACCCCGCACUAGAGAGAGGGUUCUCUACCCACCGCGCCGCAGCUCCGAGCGGCGGGGCUAUUUCGUGGCCGCCCACCUCUCCCUCGACCUGUUGUUCCACCGCCUCCGCGACGCCCUCGCCCGGUUCCGCUCCUGCUUCUGCAAGGCCAGCCACUUGUCGUAGUGGUACGCGGAGGGAGCGAAGUUCCUGCCGGAGUUCCUGUAGGCCCUGCAGAAGCUGGUGAUGCUGUGCCUGAGGUUGCCCUGCUAGCUGUUGCUCCUCGACGCCUCGACGGACUCGUUCGAGCUCCACGCCUACAGCCUCUUCCUCCGGCUGCUGCACGUGGCGAUGACGCUGCAGCUGUCGGCGUUCCCAUAGGUCAAGGUCCUCAAGCAGCAGGAGUAUACGGAAUACAUGGACGAGAAGCCGGGGUUGCAGUGUGCGGCCCAAAGGCUCAAGCUCAGCCUCUUCGAGUUGAUGUAGAAGCUGCUCGAGUAGCUGCGGAAGGAGAAGAAGUUGUCCCUGCCGCUGCCGUUCCACUGGUCCUUUCUGCAGUGGGUCUCCUACUUGCUCCUCAGACUGGCCCUCUCCUGCGGGUGGGUGUAUUGGUGUGUCGAGAAGUUCCUCUACCUGGACUUGUUCUUGCCGUUCCACUUGGAGUUCCUCAAGGAGAAGAGGUACUAGUCUACCCGACCCGAGCUCGGACUCCUUCCUCUACUUUCGUUGCUGUGAAGAGGGAUCAGAUAAACUCCGGAGAAGAGGAGUAGUCAAACAGUUUUAUCUACUUGUUAGUGGUUAACGUUCAAUUAGGAUGCAAAAUACUCUUCCACGGUAGACAAUACCGUAGUAAUCAAUUGGAACUUACAAGUCCCGUCUACCUUGAAUUACAUAUGUGUCGUCUGUCGUAUCACCGAUUCUCUGACGUAGAGGUUUCAAACAUAUCAUGC
RNAcentral lists this ribosomal RNA (1045 nucleotides) under Triticum aestivum (bread wheat). Its description in RNAcentral is "partial small subunit ribosomal RNA". Lineage: Eukaryota; Viridiplantae; Streptophyta; Magnoliopsida; Poales; Poaceae. The record is from RNAcentral.